RNAcentral lists this ribosomal RNA (460 nucleotides) under uncultured bacterium. RNAcentral describes it as "partial 16S ribosomal RNA". It matches the Rfam family "Bacterial small subunit ribosomal RNA", at positions 338 to 795 of the family's 1533-position model. The record is from RNAcentral.
CCUACGGGCGGCAGCAGUGAGGAAUAUUGGUCAAUGGACGCAAGUCUGAACCAGCCAUGCCGCGUGCAGGAAGACGGCUCUAUGAGUUGUAAACUGCUUUUGUACGAGGGUAAACGCAGAUACGUGUAUCUGUCUGAAAGUAUCGUACGAAUAAGGAUCGGCUAACUCCGGGCCAGCAGCCGCGGUAAUACGGAGGAUUCAAGCGUUAUCCGGAUUUAUUGGGUUUAAAGGGUGCGUAGGCGGUCGGAUAAGUUAGAGGUGAAAGCCCGUGGCUCAACUUCGGAAUUGCCUCUGAAACUGUUCGGCUAGAGAGUAGUUGCGGUAGGCGGAAUGUAUGGUGUAGCGGUGAAAUGCUUAGAGAUCAUACAGAACACCGAUUGCGAAGGCAGCUUACCAAGCUACUACUGACGUUGAGGCACGAAAGCGUGGGGAGCAAACAGGAUUAGAUACCCGGGUAGUC